RNAcentral lists this ribosomal RNA (497 nucleotides) under uncultured bacterium. RNAcentral's name for it is "partial 16S ribosomal RNA". It matches the Rfam family "Bacterial small subunit ribosomal RNA", at positions 28 to 507 of the family's 1533-position model. The record is from RNAcentral.
GAUGAACGCUGGCGGCGUGCCUAACACAUGCAAGUCGAGCGAACGGACGAGAAGCUUGCUUUUCUGAUGUUAGCGGCGGAGGGGAGAGUAACACGUGUAUAACCUACCUAUAAGACUGGGAUAACUUCGGGAAACCGGAUCUUAUACCGGAUAAUAUUUUGCACCGCAUUGGGCAAAAGUGAAAGUCGGUCUUGCUGUCACUAAUAGAUGGAUACGCGCUGCAUGAGCUGGUUGUUAAGGUAACGGCUUACCAAGGCAAGGAGGCAUAGCCGACCUGAGAGGGUGGUUGGCCAGCUGGGAAGUGAGACAGGGUCGAGACUCCUAGGCGAGGCCGCAGUCGGGAAUCUUACGCGAUGGAGGAGAGCCUGACAGAGGAACAUGGCGGGAGGGAUGAAGGAGUUCGGACCGGAAAGCGCUGUUAGUAGUAAAGAACAUAUGUGCAAGUAACUGUGAAGAUAUUGACGGUACCGGGUGAAAAAGCUACGGCUAACUACGUG